Molecule: long non-coding RNA, 197 nt
Organism: Zingiber officinale
Lineage: Eukaryota; Viridiplantae; Streptophyta; Magnoliopsida; Zingiberales; Zingiberaceae
Exons: 3
Source: RefSeq, a predicted model, not a curated record
UUGGAAACAACUCGGGGGACUUGGAAAUAAAGAUUCACCAAAAAGGAAGCCGUACAAGGGAGUAAGCCAAGAUGAUUGGGAUUUUCUUUGUAAUUAUUUUGGCACAAAAAAACAAAUGGCCACUUGAAGGUGCACAUGGAUCGAAAACUUUGGUUCAACAUUAUCACACAGCUGCUGAUCCUGUGACGGGAGAGCUU